RNAcentral lists this long non-coding RNA (359 nucleotides) under Sus scrofa (pig). RNAcentral describes it as "lncRNA (ENSSSCG00060040708.1)". The record is from RNAcentral. Lineage: Eukaryota; Metazoa; Chordata; Mammalia; Artiodactyla; Suidae.
AUGAUGAAGCAGCGACUGGCCUGGGAGAUUCGUGCCCUGCAGAGCAGCAAGGAGCAGCUGCUCACCGAAGAGAGGCAGGCGCGGGCGAAGCUGGAGGAGGUUGAGCAGCGGCUGCGCUCGCCGCCCGAGGUCCCGGGCGCCUCGGCAGAGAAGGACGGGCUGAAGGCGGAGCUGGAGAAACUCGGGGGCAGGUCCCCGCCCAGGCCCAGAACACCCCAGAAGUCGGAGCCAGCAAAUGAAAGGCCCGCCCGGAAAUAAAGGCGACGUUUAACCGACUGCCCUGCACCUCUCCGGCUGAGUCUGUGCUCCGGGAACCAUCGGGGACCGUGUGGUUCCUUUCCGCUCUCCCAGGGAAGGGG